UGGGAAUUUUGGACAAUGGGCGCAAGCCUGAUCCAGCCAUGCCGCGUGCGGGAAGAAGGCCUUCGGGUUGUAAACCGCUUUUGUCAGGGAAGAAAUCUUCUGAGUUAAUACCUCGGGAGGAUGACGGUACCUGAAGAAUAAGCACCGGCUAACUACGUGCCAGCAGCCGCGGUAAUACGUAGGGUGCAAGCGUUAAUCGGAAUUACUGGGCGUAAAGCGUGCGCAGGCGGUUUUGUAAGACAGAGGUGAAAUCCCCGGGCUCAACCUGGGAACUGCCUUUGUGACUGCAAGGCUUGAGUGCGGCAGAGGGGAUGGAAUUCCGCGUGUAGCAGUGAAAUGCGUAGAUAUGCGGAGGAACACCGAUGGCGAAGGCAAUCCCCUGGGCCUGCACUGACGCUCAUGCACGAAAGCGUGGGGAGCAAACAGGAUUAGAUAGCCCUGGUGGUCCACGCCCUAAACGAUGUCAACUGGUUGUUGGGAAGUUCCUUCUCAGUAACGUAGCUAACGCGUGAAGUUGACCGCCUGGGGAGUACGGCCGCAA
This 541-nucleotide ribosomal RNA is filed under the name uncultured bacterium. Its description in RNAcentral is "partial 16S ribosomal RNA". It matches the Rfam family "Bacterial small subunit ribosomal RNA", at positions 356 to 891 of the family's 1533-position model. The record is from RNAcentral.